Molecule: ribosomal RNA, 337 nt
Filed under: uncultured eukaryote
Lineage: Eukaryota
Description: partial 18S ribosomal RNA
Rfam family: Eukaryotic small subunit ribosomal RNA
Source: RNAcentral
CCCUUAGAUGUUCUGGGCCGCACGCGCGCUACACUGACGGAGGCAGCGAGCAUGUCCUUCGCCGAGAGGUGUGGGGAAUCUUGUGAGUCUCCGUCGUGCUGGGGAUAGAUGGUUGCAAUUGUCGAUCUUGAACGAGGAAUUCCUAGUAAGCGCGAGUCAUCAGCUCGCGCUGAUUACGUCCCUGCCCUUUGUACACACCGCCCGUCGCUACUACCGAUUGGAUGGUUUAGUGAGACCCUCGGAUCGGUCCCGACUCGGGGUGGGCUUCUGCCCCGGUCGUGGUUUCGCCGAGAAGACGGUCAAACUUGACUAUCUAGAGGAAGUAAAAGUCGUAACA